Molecule: ribosomal RNA, 253 nt
Filed under: uncultured prokaryote
Description: partial 16S ribosomal RNA
Rfam family: Bacterial small subunit ribosomal RNA
Source: RNAcentral
UACGUAGGGGGCGAGCGUUGUCCGGAUUUAUUGGGCGUAAAGGGCACGCAGGCGGUCUACCGCGUUCGGAGUGACAGCUUCUGGCUUAACCGGGAGAGGGUUCUGAAAACGGGUAGACUUGAGGGCCAAAGAGGAACACAGAAUUCCGGGUGUAGUGGUGAAAUGCGUAGAUAUCCGGAGGAACACCAAAGGCGAAGGCAGCUUUCUGGUGCGCACCUGACGCUGAUGGACGAAAGCCAGGGGAGCGAACGGG